This 400-nucleotide ribosomal RNA is filed under the name uncultured bacterium. RNAcentral describes it as "bacterial SSU rRNA". It matches the Rfam family "Bacterial small subunit ribosomal RNA", at positions 129 to 524 of the family's 1533-position model. The record is from RNAcentral.
CCUGAUGGAGGGGGAUAACUACUGGAAACGGUAGCUAAUACCGCAUAACGUCGCAAGACCAAAGAGGGGGACCUUCGGGCCUCUUGCCAUCAGAUGUGCCCAGAUGGGAUUAGCUAGUAGGUGGGGUAACGGCUCACCUAGGCGACAAUCCCUAGCUGGUCUGAGAGGAUGACCAGCCACACUGGAACUGAGACACGGUCCAGACUCCUACGGGAGGCAGCAGUGGGGAAUAUUGCACAAUGGGCGCAAGCCUGAUGCAGCCAUGCCGCGUGUAUGAAGAAGGCCUUCGGGUUGUAAAGUACUUUCAGCGGGGAGGAAGGCGAUAAGGUUAAUAACCUUGUCGAUUGACGUUACCCGCAGAAGAAGCACCGGCUAACUCCGUGCCAGCAGCCGCGGUAAU